AGUCGAACGAGGUCCAUUCAGUAGCAAUACUGAUGAAGGCCGAGUGGCGAACGGGUGAGUAACACGUGAGGAACCUAUCCUGGUCUCUGGGAUAACAGUCGGAAACAACUGCUAAUACCGGAUGCCGUCGGAGCGCUGCAUGGCGCACUGACGAAAGGGUUACUGGAUCAGGAGGGUCUCGCGGCCUAUCAGCUUGUUGGUGGGGUAACGGCCUACCAAGGCAUCGACGGGUAGCUGGUCUGAGAGGAUGAUCAGCCACACUGGGACUGAGACACGGCCCAGACUCCUACGGGAGGCAGCAGUGGGGAAUCUUGCGCAAUGGGCGAAAGCCUGACGCAGCAACGCCGCGUGCGGGAAGAAGGCCUUCGGGUUGUAAACCGCUUUCAGAAGGAACGAAACUGACGGUACUUUCAGAAGAAGGUGCGGCCAACUACGUGCCAGCAGCCGCGGUGACACGUAGGCACCAAGCGUUGUCCGGAUUUAUUGGGCGUAAAGAGCUCGUAGGCGGUUCGAUAAGUCGGGUGUGAAAACUUUGGGCUCAACCCAAAGCGUGCAUUCGAUACUGUUGUGACUAGAGUUCGGUAGGGGAGUGGGGGAAUUCCUAGUGUAGCGGUGAAAUGCGCAGAUAUUAGGAGGAACACCGGGUGGCGAAGGCGCCACUCUGGGCCGAAACUGACGCUGAGGAGCGAAAGCGUGGGUAGCAAACAGGAUUAGAUACCCUGGUAGUCCACGCCGUAAACGUUGGGCACUAGGUGUGGGUUCCAACCAACGGAAUCCGCGCCGUCGCAAACGCAUUAAGUGCCCCGCCUGGGGAGUACGGCCGCAAGGUUAAAACUCAAAGGAAUUGACGGGGGCCCGCACAAGCAGCGGAGCGUGUUGCUUAAUUCGAUGCAACGCGAAGAACCUUACCUGGGCUUGACAUGUACGGAAAAGCC
This 935-nucleotide ribosomal RNA is filed under the name uncultured Actinomycetes bacterium. RNAcentral's name for it is "bacterial SSU rRNA". It matches the Rfam family "Bacterial small subunit ribosomal RNA", at positions 60 to 1000 of the family's 1533-position model. Lineage: Bacteria; Bacillati; Actinomycetota; Actinomycetes. The record is from RNAcentral.